UUCCGCGCUCUGACUCUCUGCC
RNAcentral lists this microRNA (22 nucleotides) under Pongo pygmaeus (Bornean orangutan). RNAcentral's name for it is "ppy-miR-937". Its record names the gene ppy-miR-937. The record is from miRBase by way of RNAcentral. Lineage: Eukaryota; Metazoa; Chordata; Mammalia; Primates; Hominidae.